CACUCAUCGGGAGAAGAACUAGAGAAAAGGUAACUAACUUUGAAAAUGGUGCGCUUGAUCGUCGGAAUCGUUGUUGUGCUUGUUGUUACCAACGCAAUCGCAGCACAUGAAGAAGAAACACGUUUAGGCAAACGUGCUUAUGAAGAUCAGGGUGUUGCCGAUCUGAAUGACGCCGCUAUGGCUCGAAUCUCUGCUGCUCAGCGUAAUUUCUAUCGAACCAAUGGCUAUGACAAUAGUAUAAUACGCCGGAGCAGUGGUGAAAAUGACGCCGGUAUUGAUGCUGUCUUUCCCGCUAUAGAUAGAUAUCGAUGAAUAUGGAUCUACCUGUAAAACAUCAUAAAAUAUUGAUUAACAGGCCCUAUCAUUCUUAGUCGUGAUGUAAUAUAGUACGUAAUUCAA
Molecule: long non-coding RNA, 399 nt
Organism: Ostrea edulis (European flat oyster)
Lineage: Eukaryota; Metazoa; Mollusca; Bivalvia; Ostreida; Ostreidae
Exons: 2
Source: RefSeq, a predicted model, not a curated record